CAAUAGCGUAUAUUAAAGUUGUUGCGGUUAAAAAGCUCGUAGUUGGAUUUCUGCUGAGAACGACCGGUCCGCCCUCUGGGUGUGUAUCUGGCUCUUUCUUGGCAUCUUCUUGGUGAACGUUGCAGCACUUGACUGUGUGGAGCGCUACCCAGGACUUUUACUUUGAGGAAAUUAGAGUGUUUCAAGCAGGCAUACGCCUUGAAUACAUUAGCAUGGAAUAAUAAGAUAGGACCUCGGUUCUAUUUUGUUGGUUUCUAGAGCUGAGGUAAUGAUUAAUAGGGAUAGUUGGGGGCAUUCGUAUUUAACUGUCAGAGGUGAAAUUCUUGGAUUUGUUAAAGACGAACUACUGCGAAAGCAUUUGCCAAGGAUGUUUUCAUUAA
Molecule: ribosomal RNA, 380 nt
Filed under: uncultured eukaryote
Lineage: Eukaryota
Description: partial 18S ribosomal RNA
Rfam family: Eukaryotic small subunit ribosomal RNA
Source: RNAcentral